This 1282-nucleotide long non-coding RNA is filed under the name Marmota monax (woodchuck). Lineage: Eukaryota; Metazoa; Chordata; Mammalia; Rodentia; Sciuridae. The record is from RNAcentral.
GUCCUGUCUCUUAAAGUCUGAUAAUUGGUAGAUUCCUUUAGAUUUUGUAUGUAGACAUUUGUCAUCUGCAAAUAGGGACAGUUUACUCUUGUCCUUUCCAUCAGAGUGGCUUCUCUUUCUCUUUCUUGAAUAAUUUUACUGGCUAGAAUUUCCAGUCCUCUGUUGAAUACAAGUUGUGAGCACAACAUCUUUCCUGGCAAGUGUCAUUAAGGAGGUGUCACCUACAGGUUGUCAUCUAUGUAAGCAAAUGCUCUUCAUCCAGAUGAGGAUGUCUCUUUAUUCUUAGUUUCUUAGAGGUUUGUUUCUUUUUUAAGUCAUGCAUGGGUGUCAUGCAUGGGUGUUAGCUUUUGUCAGAUGCUUCUUCUCUGUCCCUGAAAUCAUCAUUUCCUUCUUUAUUCUACUGCCACGGUAAGUUAUACUUCACAAUCUUUGAUUGUUGAAUAAUCCACUCGCUCAUAGUGUCUAAUUGUGUUUACAUAUUGCUGAAUUUGGUUUGCUCAAAUCUGUAUUUCUCACAAAUUCUCUUUGGUAACUUCUGUGAUCAGGUCACAUCAGGAAAUAGUAGGGUGUCUUGUGUGUGUGUUGCAGUCCUGGUCUCUGCCUGGUGGCACAAGCCUACUUGGUAGCAAACAGAGGCCUCCUAGAUUCAGGCUAGAAGGUUUGGUUUUGUCGAUUCUUCCUUUGUAGCAAUAUUGCCCACAACCACCCAGCACCAGCUUUGUCCAGGCUCUUACUUCAUCCUGUGUCCAUCAGAUGACCAUUCAGAAGUCACAGCCAAAAAAGGAUAAGUUGGGAGAUUAUAAAUUAAACCUUUUGCUUUAAUUCUGCACUGUAUUUUCAUUGGGUAAUUUAUUGAGUCAAAAAUGAAUGAUUUGUUGGAUCUCAAGUGACACUGUUGUUUUCUCUGAGGAUUGUGAAGCUGAAUUAGAUACAGAUCAACCCCUGUCUCUAUUCUUGUAUUAGUUAACUUAUUCACACAGUCACAAGCAUUGUGAACCCAUAGUGUGCCAAGAACGCCUGAGGACGCUGGGUUACAGCAGUAUAGAAAUCAACACGCAUGUUCUCACGGAACUGCCAUGUGGAGUAGUGUGUGCAUGUGACGGGAGCUGGCCUUUAGUGGCUGUGGUACAUGUGUACUUGACUGUUCAGACUGCAACACACCAUUUUAAAUGUAACCAGAGGAGUAGUGUCUGGUGACUCUGAAAGCUUGGUGUAUGAAAAACUGCAUUCAGUUUAGAGUUGAACUUCUUGGGAAAGAUGUCUUUUGAGUUAACGCUUGAAG